This is a non-coding RNA of Acanthosepion pharaonis, 110 nucleotides long. The record is from the annotation of a GenBank genome assembly. Lineage: Eukaryota; Metazoa; Mollusca; Cephalopoda; Sepiida; Sepiidae.
GGGCCAUAUCACAUUGAAACACUGGUUUUCAUUCAAUCACAGAAGUUAAGAAACAUUGAACCUGGUCAGUACCUUGGUGGGUGAUUGCUUGGGAAGUCCAGAUGCUGUAA